RNAcentral lists this ribosomal RNA (323 nucleotides) under uncultured eukaryote. RNAcentral's name for it is "partial 18S ribosomal RNA". It matches the Rfam family "Eukaryotic small subunit ribosomal RNA", at positions 1470 to 1796 of the family's 1831-position model. The record is from RNAcentral.
CCCUUAGAUGUUCUGGGCAGCACGCGCGCUACAAUGGUCUUCGCAAACGGAUGCAUUCUCGAAGGAGAAUGCCAAUCUUGGAAUCUAUGCCUUGGUCGGGACAGUUGCUUGCAAUUUUUCGACUCGAACCAGGAAUUCCUUGUAAUCGUGAUUCAUCACAUCACGAUGAUUACGUCCCUGCCCUUUGUACACACCGCCCGUCGCUCCUACCGAUUGAGUGUGUUGGUGAGGAGUUUGGAUUGGCCUCGGAAGGUGGUUCGCCACCGUCCGUAGCUGAGAAGUUCUCCAAACCGCCCCACUUAGAGGAAGGAGAAGUCGUAACA